RNAcentral lists this unclassified non-coding RNA (277 nucleotides) under Hevea brasiliensis (rubber tree). Lineage: Eukaryota; Viridiplantae; Streptophyta; Magnoliopsida; Malpighiales; Euphorbiaceae. The record is from RNAcentral.
AAUAUUAUCUUAAAAAUUAUUAUCAAAUAGGCCAAUAUCUUUUAUGAAUAAACUCCAAUUACUACUAAAUAUUGUACAAUUGCUUGUGGUGUGAUAUAUAGUUAAUGCCUUUAAUAAUGCUGCUCUAUUUUGGUUCAUACGUUAAGUCUAUUUCAUGGUCUACUUUGGUACAACAGCAGUCCACACAACUCACAUGCAGAGGUUUGAAAAUGGAUCUUAUUUCAGUGUCUAGUUCCAAAAGUCAAUUGAUUAAUCAAAGAUAUAAAUAUUUCCAAUG